AAUCAGGUGCUGCUGGGAGGAGGCGCGUCAGCCAGGGGUGGAGGAAGCAGAAAAGGCUCUCUCACCUCUAACGCCGCAGUGGAUUAGAGCAUCUGAGAAGCUCUGGAAAAAACCUCUCAGGAAAACAACGACUUCAGCAGGACCCACUAGCCAAGGAAAGGGGAUAAAAUAAAUAGCAAAGGGAAGGAAAAACACGCACCUCUGGGAUGCUGCAGGUCCUGUUGCAGCCGCCGCCAUCCCUCGAAGCCACCGUUGCUUCUGCCAGAGCUGCUACUAGCGCGCUUAUCAGCUCCGCCACCGCCCAAGGGGGAAACUUCUGCAGAAACCCCAACCGAGCUUCCGUCUAACACAAGCUCCAGGCCGGGCGCCGUGGCUCACGCCUGUAAUCCCAGCACUUUGGGAGUCCGAGACGGGUGGAUCACGAAGUCAGGAGUUCAAGACCAGCCUCGCCAAGAUGCUGAAACCCCGUCUACGAAAAAUACAAAAAUUAGCCGGGCGUGAUGGUGGGCGCCUGUAAUCCCAGCUACUGGGGAGGCUGAGGCAGGAGAAUCGCUUGAACCUGGGAGGCAGAGGUUGCAGUGAGCCGAGAUCGCGCCACUGCACCACAGCCUGGGCGACAGAGCAAGACUCCUUAAUAAAUAAAUAAAUAAAUAAAAAAUAAAUAAAAUAAGCUACUUCGA
Long non-coding RNA from Homo sapiens (human), 680 nucleotides. Lineage: Eukaryota; Metazoa; Chordata; Mammalia; Primates; Hominidae. The record is from Ensembl.